Molecule: ribosomal RNA, 1443 nt
Filed under: uncultured bacterium
Lineage: Bacteria
Description: bacterial SSU rRNA
Rfam family: Bacterial small subunit ribosomal RNA
Source: RNAcentral
AUUGAACGCUGGCGGCAUGGCUAAAACAUGCAAGUCGAACGCGAAAGCACUUCGGUGCAAGUAGAGUGGCGAAAGGGCGAGGAAUAAGUACCUAACGUGCCUUCAGGUAAGGGAUAGCUCAUGGAAACGUGUGGUAAUACCUUAUAAUCUCAUUGUUUCAUAUGGAAUGAUGAGCAAAGGCUUGCUGCCUGAAGAUCGGGGUACUUCCUAUCAGCUUGCUGGUGAGGUAAUGGCUCACCAAGGCGAAGACGGGUAGCUGGUGUGAGAGCACGACCAGCCGCAUCGGGACUGAGACACUGCCCGGACUCCUACGGGAGGCUGCAGUAACGAAUAUUCCGCAAUGCACGAAAGUGUGACGGAGCAAUGCCGCGUGUGGGAUGAAGCAUCUAGGUGUGUAAACCACUGUCAGGGUUUAGGAAACAAAUGACCAGACCCAAAGGAAGAGCCGGCUAACUCUGUGCCAGCAGCCGCGGUAAUACAGAGGGCUCAAGCGUUAAUCGGAGUCACUGGGCUUAAAGCGUACGCAGGCUGAUGUGCAGGCAUCUUGUGAAAUCCCACGGCUCAACCGUGGAAUUGCUCGGUGAACCGCACAUCUUGAGACAGACAGAGGCCGUCGGAACGAUCGGUGGAGUGGUGAAAUGCGUUGAUAUCGAUCGGAACGCCAAAGGUGAAGACAGGCGGCUGGGUCUGUUCUGACGCUCAUGUACGAAAGCGUGGGUAGCGAACGGGAUUAGAUACCCCGGUAGUCCACGCCGUAAACGAUGUGCACUAGGUCGAGGACGUUCUGACGCGAUUCUCGGCUGAAGCAAAAGUGUUAAGUGCACCGCCUGGGGAGUACGGUCGCAAGGCUAAAACUCAAAGGAAUUGACGGGGGCUCACACAAGCGGUGGAGCAUGUUGCUUAAUUCGAUGCAACGCGAAGAACCUUAUCCUGGGUUUGACAUGUACGGAUUAGCUCGGUGAAAGUCGAGUGACGCGGUUUACCGUGGAACGUACACAGGUGCUGCAUGGCUGUCGUCAGCUCGUGCUGUGAAGUGUUGGGUUAAGUCCCUUAACGAGCGCAACCCCUGUCGCUAGUUGCUACCAGGUAAUGCUGAGGACUCUAGCGAGACUGCCGGUGUCAAACCGGAGGAAGGUGGGGAUGACGUCAAGUCCGCAUGGCCUUUAUGCCCAGGGCUGCAAACGUGCUACAAUGGUCGGUACAGAACGAUGCAAGACCGUAAGGUGGAGCAAAUCGCGAAAGCCGGCCCCAGUUCGGAUUGAGGGCUGCAACUCGCCCUCAUGAAGUUGGAAUCGCUAGUAAUCGCGGAUCAGAACGCCGCGGUGAAUACGUUCCCGGGCCUUGUACACACCGCCCGUCACACCAUGGGAGUGGGCUGUACCAGAAGUGGCUAGCUUAACCUUCGGGAGAGCGGUUACCACGGUAUGGUUCAUGACUGGGGUG